CCACCGGUGGCAACCCGGGGAAGACCUAUGGCGAACGGGUGCGUAACACGUGAGCAACCUGCCCCGAAGACUGGGAUAACAGCGGGAAACCGCUGCUAAUACCGGAUGUCCCCAUCUGUCCGCAUGGACGGGUGAGGAAAUGGAUUCCGCUUCGGGAGGGGCUCGCGGCCUAUCAGCUUGUUGGCGGGGUAACGGCCCACCAAGGCGACGACGGGUAGCUGGUCUGAGAGGACGAUCAGCCACACUGGGACUGAGACACGGCCCAGACUCCUACGGGAGGCAGCAGUAGGGAAUCUUGCGCAAUGGGCGAAAGCCUGACGCAGCAACGCCGCGUGGGGGAUGAAGGCCUUCGGGUUGUAAACUCCUUUCAGUGGGAACGAAACUGACGGUACCCACAGAAGAAGCCCCGGCCAACUACGUG
RNAcentral lists this ribosomal RNA (421 nucleotides) under uncultured bacterium. RNAcentral's name for it is "bacterial SSU rRNA". It matches the Rfam family "Bacterial small subunit ribosomal RNA", at positions 71 to 507 of the family's 1533-position model. The record is from RNAcentral.